GCUUAGUGGUCAGAGUAAUGGUGCGUAAAGCCAAAGGUCCCGGGUUCGAUUCCCGG
This 56-nucleotide transfer RNA is filed under the name Agrilus planipennis (emerald ash borer). It matches the Rfam family "tRNA", at positions 10 to 63 of the family's 71-position model. From Rfam's summary of the family: Transfer RNA (tRNA) molecules are approximately 80 nucleotides in length. Their secondary structure includes four short double-helical elements and three loops (D, anti-codon, and T loops). The record is from Rfam by way of RNAcentral. Lineage: Eukaryota; Metazoa; Arthropoda; Insecta; Coleoptera; Buprestidae.